This is a long non-coding RNA of Spodoptera frugiperda (fall armyworm), 1396 nucleotides long. RefSeq lists it as uncharacterized. Lineage: Eukaryota; Metazoa; Arthropoda; Insecta; Lepidoptera; Noctuidae. The transcript is spliced from 3 exons. The record is from RefSeq and is a predicted model, not a curated record.
UUCUAUGAUCUUUUGUCGCAUUCAAAGUUCAGUUUAUACUGGUUGUUAUACCGUGGUGUGUGGCCGCGUCUACAUUAGCAUUAUAUUUUCCCGUUGCCUCGACCGUCUGAUUCGUCACAGUUCCCAAUUUAGAAACAUUCAGUUAUCCUGCCUUAGAUAGGUUGCACAUCGCGGCCGGAGCUGCAGCCAUAGCGGAAUAACUUACAAUCGAGUUGCAAAUUGCUAAACAACGUGAGAAUAUUUCAAUUUCGCGCGCUACUUUAAAUAUUGUGCUACAUCAACAUGUAGUGAGUGGACUUCCCCGUUCGAAUUAUCUAGAAAUCGAUUAGAUAUGAGCUCGCGUCACAUAGAUAGCCCAGACCGAUUGACGGGACGGGCGACAGAAUCGACAAGCCGGGCGUUUUCGUCGCCACAGUACAAAAACUUAGUUACAAUAGUGUUUCAGUGAUAAAUAAUACUACUGCAUCGACCUUAGUGCAUCUUUGACCUUACUAAGUGAUACUAAAAAAGCAAUUGUGUAAUUCUGUUGAGAAAGCCGAGUUGAAAUAUGGAUAGAAAUGAUUUUUCGUCGAAUUUUAGCUCAUGUAUCAAGGAGUCGAUGGAAGCUGGUCAGCUGACUUGCAAGUCAUUGCCACCGAGUACAUGAUAUGCUGAUGAUGCAGGAGACGGAGCUGGUUCUUCCUCGGAAGGUGGGGACAUGGCUUGCCACGUCUCCAUGUCAGAGACUGGACCCUAAGGCCUCAAGGACUCUAACAGCGCUUGGAAAGAAUUGUGAACUUGUCGUAUUACGCAAUGCAUAAUGCAUUAAGGUAUAUCUAGAGUCGCUUCAUCUUUCUUAUCAAGUGGAGUACGCACGAUGUUUUUCUUCAUCGCUGUCAGUCGUGUUUAAAUCAAAUCAAAUCAUCUUUAUUGUGGACUAUAGAACAAAUGCUGCUUUAACGCCAGGCUGCUGGACAUCACGGUAAACGGAGCUACCAGAUUGGGGAGAAAAUACAAAAUGUCGCCAACGAAUUGAAACACAAAGAAGAUGAUGAGCAGGGAGCAGGCUUGGAGUUCCUCAGGGGAGCUGGACUGUACAAUCACUACAUAGUACAAAACAAAGUCGCUUUCUCUGUCCCUAUGUCCCUUUGUAUGCUUAAAUCUUUAAAACUACGCAACGGAUUUUGAUGCGGUUUUUUUUAAUAGAUAGAGUGAUUCAAGAGGAAGGUUUAUAUGUAUAAUGCAUGCAUAAUAUAUCACCAUGCGAAGCUGGGGCGGGUCGCUAGUAAAUAAAUAAAACAUGAUGUAUGAUGAGGAAAGAUCUCUGUGCAAUAACUCUAUGUACUUAUUAAACAUGUAUAACUACUUGUCAAUUAGCUUUUGUUAGUAUAUUUACGUGAGUAAACCGUUUUAUUUA